GGGAGAUUGUGAAGAUUGAAAGGGAUCUUUGCAAACACAAUCACGUUCUUAAAUGGAAAUGCGGGGCUUUAAACAAAUCUUACAUCUCUCCUGUUUCAGUCGUGUAAAACUCCGCAAUCAGGAACACACACUCAGGAACGGAGCUGUUGCUGAAGAUUUUUUGGGUAUCAGUCCUAUUUCAAUUAUUUAUUGUAAUGUAUUUUUGCUAACGGUCGCAUUUGUGCAUUUGUCUUGUGUUCAGUGGGCUACGUCCACAGGGUUUUGAAUAGAAAUGCAGCGUUGCCUAAUAUUUGGGGGAAAAACCAGACAUGAAAGCAAAAUGUUUUGCAGUGGUCUUCAACACGCCAUUGGAAAAGAGCAGAGAAUGACACACAUUGACCUGGCUGUAUCCAGAAUGGCCAUCUCUCUUGCACAGCAUCUGUCACAUACAGUAACGUGACUAAAAAAGGAAGUUGUGGAAAAAAUGCUGUAAGAAAAAACAGCUUCGGGAUGAGGAAAGCAGGGGUGUGUCAAUAGCAAUAAUUUAUACUGUAGUCCUACUAUAUUCAUGUUCUCAAAUAUUAUAUACUUCAGCCAAUGAAAGAUUUUAGUGCAGUAGAAUAAUUUGACACAUAAUUUAUUAACUACCUUCAUUAUGUUUAUGUACUCUCAUGCAGUUAUUGAGAAAUAGGUAAUAGAUAAUGACAGAUGUAUAACAAAGAUAUUGUAAAUGCAAUUCUGAAUUUUGUGUACAGAAUUUGUAACCAUACUCGAAUCAAUACCUGGGAACAUGGGAACUCUUCAGUAGCAGUUCAUUACUAUUGUGAUAUAUUAUUUUAAGUGGCCAGGUUUGUUAUAGUUUGAUGGUAAGUACAGACUGUAUAGCUCAGGGGUGUCCAAUCUUAUCUGCAAAGGGCCAGUGUGGGUGUAUGUUUUCAGUCCAAUCAAGCAGGCGCCAAACCUGAUUCUACCUGUUUAAUUAGCUGAUCCUGGCUUUCAGUAGACUAUCAGGUGUGGCUUCCGCCUGGUUGGAAUGAAAACCGACACCCACACUGGCCCUUUAAAAUUGGACAGCCCUGGUAAAUCUAGAGGAGUUUCCACUUUUUAAAUUUUAUUAAUGAAUAUCAACGAAUAGCUCUAGUGUAUAAUGGUAAUGGGAAACUGAUAUUAAUUGUAUACGGAUAUUAAUGUAAAUUGAUUUAUUAUACAGUAAAUAAUAAUAAAAAAAUAAUGUUCUGUUCUCCUCAAUAUAUUAUAUAAUGUUUUGUCAUAUUUUAAAAAAGAAUAAAGUAACGAAAUAAAUUCAUUUGUUUAUUAAUUAUUUCUUCCUUUUUGUGCGUUUCUAAGUUUGUAUGUGUUUGGAUUUCAUAAGCUUUAUCCUAGCUCAUGAUUUCGGUACUUCAGACCUAAACUGAACGUUUGUAUUUAUU
Long non-coding RNA from Ictalurus punctatus (channel catfish), 1409 nucleotides. The record is from Ensembl. NCBI's taxonomy places the organism in Eukaryota, Metazoa, Chordata, Actinopteri, Siluriformes, Ictaluridae.